Molecule: ribosomal RNA, 466 nt
Filed under: uncultured bacterium
Lineage: Bacteria
Description: bacterial SSU rRNA
Rfam family: Bacterial small subunit ribosomal RNA
Source: RNAcentral
GACGAACGCUGGCGGCAUGCCUAACACAUGCAAGUCUAGGGGUAGCAAUACCACUGGCGCACGGGUGAGUAACACGUAGGUUAUCUGCCCCCAUCACAGACAUAACCCCGGGAAACCGGGGCUAAUAUCUGAUGAGGUCGCGAGAUCAAAGCUUCGGCGGAUGGGGAUGAGCCUGCGGCUGAUUAGCUAGUUGGUGAGGUAAUGGCUCACCAAGGCGACGAUCGGUAGCUGGUCUGAGAGGACGAACAGCCACACUGGAACUGAGACACGGUCCAGACUCCUACGGGAGGCAGCAGUGAGGAAUAUUGGUCAAUGGGAGCAAUCCUGAACCAGCAAUGCCGCGUGUGGGAUGACAGGGCUUCGCCUUGUAAACCACUGUCGGACGGGACGAAAGGAGGCCUCGGGCCUCUGGGACGGUACCGUCAAAGGAAGGGUCGGCUAACUACGUGCCAGCAGCCGCGGUAAU